This 227-nucleotide long non-coding RNA is filed under the name Elaeis guineensis (African oil palm). RNAcentral describes it as "long non-coding RNA (EGUI_LNC014659)". The record is from RNAcentral. Lineage: Eukaryota; Viridiplantae; Streptophyta; Magnoliopsida; Arecales; Arecaceae.
UCAGGUGACACAAUCCAACAUUACGAUUGGUCCAAUAUCUCGAUUGGUGAAAUCAACAUGAUCAAAUCAAGUCAUGGCUAGAUCGAAAUAAUGGAUGAUCAAUCUAAAGAUUCAUGGUCUAAUUAAGGUGGGUGCCAGUACGCUGUCUGACAACCAUGGAUCAGGGUUCUUCAUUAGAAUCAGAUCAGGACUAUUAAAAGAAAUUUCUUCAUUUACUAACCUUUUUA